Pelobates cultripes (western spadefoot toad) is the source of this 260-nucleotide non-coding RNA. The record is from the annotation of a GenBank genome assembly. Lineage: Eukaryota; Metazoa; Chordata; Amphibia; Anura; Pelobatidae.
GUCACAAUAGCUUGGAUUUAAAAACAAAAAACUUUUUUUUACUGUUAUAGAUUGAAUAGCAGUCAGUGUCCUUAAAGCGGGUGUGUUACGCUAACAGUGGAUACGCUGACAAGUGCCACUAAUUAGAUCUGGUGUCACAAUAGUUUGGAUUUAAAAAAAAAAAAAUCUUUUUUCACUGUUAUAGAUUGAAUAGCAGUCAGUGUCCUUAAAGCGGGUGUGUUACGCUAACAGUGGAUACGCUAACAAGUGCCACUAAUUAG